CACGCCAUAAACGAUGAGUGCUAGGUGUUGGGGGUCAAACCUCGGUGCCGCAGUUAACGCAUUAAGCACUCCGUCUGGGGAGUACGUUCGCAAGAAUAAAACUCAAAGGAAUUGACGGGGACCCGCACAAGCAGCGGAGCAUGUGGUUUAAUUCGAAGCAACGCGAAGAACCUUACCUGGAUUUGACAUCCCUCUGACCGCUUUUUAAUCAAGGCCUUCCCUUCGGGGACUGAGGAGACAGGUGG
Molecule: ribosomal RNA, 245 nt
Filed under: uncultured Alkaliphilus sp.
Lineage: Bacteria; Bacillati; Bacillota; Clostridia; Peptostreptococcales; Natronincolaceae
Description: partial 16S ribosomal RNA
Rfam family: Bacterial small subunit ribosomal RNA
Source: RNAcentral